UGAAUACGAGAUGCUACGGCGUCGAAGCAGUCUAUGUCAUACUUCCAAGAAAAGCUUGCACUGUCAUAAACAAAUAAUGCCUGUACCAUAACCGACACAGGUGGGUAGGUAGAGUAUACUAAGGGGCGCGAGAUAACUCUCUCUAAGGAACUCGGCAAAAUGACUCCGUAACUUCGGGAGAAGGAGUGCCUUAUUUAUAAGGUUGCAAUAACAAGAUCCAAGCAACUGUUUACCAAAAACACAGGUCUCCGCUAAGUCGUAAGACGAUGUAUGGGGGCUGACGCCUGCCCAGUGCCAGAAGGUUAAAGAAGUUGGUUAGCAUCCGCGAAGCUGAUAACUGAAGCCCUGGUGAACGGCGGCCGUAACUAUAACGGUCCUAAGGUAGCGAAAUUCCUUGUCGGGUAAGUUCCGACCCGCACGAAAGGCGUAAUGAUUUGGAUACUGUCUCGGAGAGGGGCUCGGUGAAAUAGACUUGUCUGUGAAGAUGCGGACUACCUGCACCAGGACAGAAAGACCCUAUGAAGCUUUACUGUAACCUGAAAUUGAAAUUGGACUUUACUUGCGCAGUAUAGGUGGGAGGCGUUGAGAAUAUUCUUGCGGGAUUAUUGGAGCCAUCAGUGAGAUACCACUCUUGUAAUGUUAGAUUUCUAACUUUGUAUCAUUAUCUGGUCAAAGAACAGUUUCAGGCGGGCAGUUUGACUGGGGCGGUCGCCUCCUAAACGGUAACGGAGGCGCACAAAGGUUUCCUCUGAACGGGUAGAAAUCGUAUCUAGAGUGUAAAGGCAUAAGGAAGCUUGACUGUGAGACCUACAAGUCGAGCAGGGACGAAAGUCGGUCUUAGUGAUCUGACGGUGCUGAGUGGAAAGGCCGUCACUCAACGGAUAAAAGUUACUCUAAGGAUAACAGGCUGAUCUCCCCCAAGAGUUCACAUCGACGGGGAGGUUUGGCACCUCGAUGUCGGCUCAUCGCAUCCUGGGGCGGUAGUACGUCCCAAGGGUUGGGCUGUUCGCCCAUGAAAGCGGUACGCGAGCUGGGUUCAGAACGUCGUGAGACAGUUCGGUCCAUAUCCGGUGUAGGCGUUAGAAUAUUGAGAGGAGCCUUCUUUAGUACGAGAGGACCGAGAAGGACAUACCUCUGGUGUACCAGUUAUCGUGCCAACGGUAAACGCUGGGUAGCUAUGUGUGGAGUGGAUAACCGCUGAAAGCAUCUAAGUGGGAAGCCCACCUCAAGAUAAGUAUUCUC
Molecule: ribosomal RNA, 1242 nt
Filed under: metagenome
Description: bacterial LSU rRNA
Rfam family: Bacterial large subunit ribosomal RNA
Source: RNAcentral